This 494-nucleotide ribosomal RNA is filed under the name uncultured bacterium. RNAcentral describes it as "partial 16S ribosomal RNA". It matches the Rfam family "Bacterial small subunit ribosomal RNA", at positions 28 to 507 of the family's 1533-position model. The record is from RNAcentral.
GACGAACGCUGGCGGCGUGCUUAACACAUGCAAGUCGAACGGAAAGGCCUGCUUUCCCUUGUGGAUUGCGGGUGCUCGAGUGGCGAACGGGUGAGUAACACGUGAGUGAUCUGCCCCCAACUUGGGUAUAAGCCUGGGAAACUGGGUCUAAUUCCCGAUAGGACUGCAGGGUGGUGCCUGUGGUGGAAAACGAUUUUCUAGUGGUUGGGGAUGAGCUCGCGGCCUAUCAGCUUGUUGGUGGGGUAAUGGCCUACCAAGGCGGCGACGGGUAGCCGGCCUGGGAGGGGGGACGGCCGCAUUGGGACUGAGAUACGACCCAGACUCCUACGGGAAGCAGCAGUGGGGAAUAUUGCACAAUGAGCGGAAGCCUGAUGCAGCGACGCCGCGUGGGGGAUGACGGCCUUCGGGUUGUAAACUCCUUUCGACGGCGAGGAAGCCACCUGGUUGGAAGGGUGGUGACGGUAGUGGUAGAAGAAGCACCGGCUAACUACGUG